Molecule: ribosomal RNA, 425 nt
Filed under: uncultured bacterium
Lineage: Bacteria
Description: partial 16S ribosomal RNA
Rfam family: Bacterial small subunit ribosomal RNA
Source: RNAcentral
GUGGGGAAUAUUGGGCAAUGGGCGAAAGCCUGACCCAGCAACGCCGCGUGAAGGAAGAAGGUUUUCGGAUCGUAAACUUCUAUCCUUGGUGAAGAUAAUGACGGUAGCCAAGAAGGAAGCCCCGGCUAACUACGUGCCAGCAGCCGCGGUAAUACGUAGGGGGCAAGCGUUGUCCGGAAUGAUUGGGCGUAAAGGGCGCGUAGGCGGCCCGGGAAGUCUGAAGUGAAAGUACUGCUUUUCAGGUGGGCAUUGCUUUGGAUACUGUCGGGCUUGAGUGCAGGAGAGGUAAGCGGAAUUCCCGGUGUAGCGGUGAAAUGCGUAGAGAUCGGGAGGAACACCAGUGGCGAAGGCGGCUUACUGGACUGUAACUGACGCUGAGGCGCGAAAGUGUGGGGAGCAAACAGGAUUAGAUACCCGAGUAGUCC